UACGUAGGGUGCGAGCGUUGUCCGGAAUUACUGGGCGUAAAGAGCUCGUAGGUGGUUUGUCGCGUUGUUCGUGAAAACUCACAGCUUAACUGUGGGCGUGCGGGCGAUACGGGCAGACUGGAGUACUGCAGGGGAGACUGGAAUUCCUGGUGUAGCGGUGGAAUGCGCAGAUAUCAGGAGGAACACCGGUGGCGAAGGCGGGUCUCUGGGCAGUAACUGACGCUGAGGAGCGAAAGCGUGGGGAGCCAACAGG
This 253-nucleotide ribosomal RNA is filed under the name uncultured bacterium. Its description in RNAcentral is "partial 16S ribosomal RNA". It matches the Rfam family "Bacterial small subunit ribosomal RNA", at positions 524 to 776 of the family's 1533-position model. The record is from RNAcentral.